AUCCUAUCAAGAGUCAGGGAGGGACUAGACCCCGUGAGCUGACACCAACUACCGUAACGGUGAUGUGGUAAUUUCUAGCAGAUAGGCG
This 88-nucleotide non-coding RNA is filed under the name Weissella paramesenteroides. RNAcentral describes it as "SAM-I sequence". It matches the Rfam family "SAM riboswitch aptamer (S box leader)". Rfam says of the family: The SAM riboswitch is found upstream of a number of genes which code for proteins involved in methionine or cysteine biosynthesis in Gram-positive bacteria. The SAM riboswitch acts at the level of transcription termination control. RNAcentral also lists the same sequence under 1 other name. Lineage: Bacteria; Bacillati; Bacillota; Bacilli; Lactobacillales; Lactobacillaceae. The record is from RNAcentral.